This 909-nucleotide ribosomal RNA is filed under the name Vibrio cholerae. Its description in RNAcentral is "partial 23S ribosomal RNA". It matches the Rfam family "Bacterial large subunit ribosomal RNA", at positions 1 to 956 of the family's 2925-position model. The record is from RNAcentral. Lineage: Bacteria; Pseudomonadati; Pseudomonadota; Gammaproteobacteria; Vibrionales; Vibrionaceae.
GUUGUAUGGUUAAGUGACUAAGCGUACACGGUGGAUGCCUGGGCAGUCAGAGGCGAUGAAGGACGUACUAACUUGCGAUAAGCGCAGAUAAGGCAGUAAGAGCCGUUUGAGUCUGCGAUUUCCGAAUGGGGAAACCCAACUGCAUAAGCAGUUACUGUUAACUGAAUACAUAGGUUAACAGAGCAAACCGGGGGAACUGAAACAUCUAAGUACCCCGAGGAGAAGAAAUCAACCGAGAUUCCGGUAGUAGCGGCGAGCGAACCUGGAUUAGCCCUUAAGCACUCGGUGAAGUAGGUGAACAAGCUGGAAAGCUUGGCGAUACAGGGUGAUAGCCCCGUAACCGACGCUUCAUCGAGCGUGAAAUCGAGUAGGGCGGGACACGUGAUAUCCUGUCUGAAUAUGGGGGGACCAUCCUCCAAGGCUAAAUACUCCUGACUGACCGAUAGUGAACCAGUACCGUGAGGGAAAGGCGAAAAGAACCCCUGUGAGGGGAGUGAAAUAGAACCUGAAACCGUGUACGUACAAGCAGUAGGAGCACCUUCGUGGUGUGACUGCGUACCUUUUGUAUAAUGGGUCAGCGACUUAUAUUCAGUGGCAAGGUUAACCGUAUAGGGGAGCCGUAGCGAAAGCGAGUCUUAACUGGGCGCUCAGUCUCUGGAUAUAGACCCGAAACCGGGUGAUCUAGCCAUGGGCAGGUUGAAGGUUGAGUAACAUCAACUGGAGGACCGAACCGACUAAUGUUGAAAAAUUAGCGGAUGACUUGUGGCUAGGGGUGAAAGGCCAAUCAAACUCGGAGAUAGCUGGUUCUCCCCGAAAGCUAUUUAGGUAGCGCCUCGGACGAAUACUACUGGGGGUAGAGCACUGUUAAGGCUAGGGGGUCAUCCCGACUUACCAACCCUUUGCAAACUC